This 475-nucleotide ribosomal RNA is filed under the name uncultured Oscillospiraceae bacterium. RNAcentral describes it as "bacterial SSU rRNA". It matches the Rfam family "Bacterial small subunit ribosomal RNA", at positions 25 to 507 of the family's 1533-position model. Lineage: Bacteria; Bacillati; Bacillota; Clostridia; Eubacteriales; Oscillospiraceae. The record is from RNAcentral.
CAGGACAACGCUGCGGCGUGCCUACACAUGCAAGUGAACGGAACUAGUUGAGGAAUCUUCGAAGGACGAUGGUAAGUUUAGUGGUCGGACGGGUGAGUAACGCGUGAGUAACCUGCCUCCGAGAGGGGAAUAACAAUCUGAAAAGAUUGCUAAUACCGCAUAACAUAGCGAAGUCGCAUGGCAGCGCUAUCAAGAUUAUCGCUCGGAGAUGGACUCGCGUCCGAUUAGUUAGUUGGUGAGGUAACGGCUCACCAAGACCGCGAUCGGUAGCCGGACUGAGAGGUUGAACGGCCACAUUGGGACUGAGACACGGCCCAGACUCCUACGGGAGGCAGCAGUGGGGGAUAUUGCGCAAUGGGGGAAACCCUGACGCAGCAACGCCGCGUGAAGGAUGAAGGUUUUCGGAUUGUAAACUUCCUUUAUUAAGGACGAAAAAAUGACGGUACUUAAUGAAUAAGCUCCGGCUAACUACGUG